UACGUAGGGUGCGAGCGUUGUCCGGAAUUAUUGGGCGUAAAGGGCUCGUAGGCGGUUUGUCGCGUCGGGAGUGAAAACCUUGGGCUUAACUCAGGGCUUGCUUUCGAUACGGGCAGACUAGAGGUAUGCAGGGGAGAACGGAAUUCCUGGUGUAGCGGUGAAAUGCGCAGAUAUCAGGAGGAACACCGGUGGCGAAGGCGGUUCUCUGGGCAUGAUCUGACGCUGAGGAGCGAAAGUGUGGGGAGCGAACGGG
RNAcentral lists this ribosomal RNA (253 nucleotides) under uncultured bacterium. RNAcentral describes it as "partial 16S ribosomal RNA". It matches the Rfam family "Bacterial small subunit ribosomal RNA", at positions 524 to 776 of the family's 1533-position model. The record is from RNAcentral.